UAUAUUUGUUUUGAAAAAAUACUUUCAUAAAAGUAUACAUAUCCCACUUUUUGAUAAAUAUUUUUAUAAAAUCAAGGAGUCAAAGUUAGGCUUUGGAGACCGUGUCGUUGUCCUAAACGACUUCCUUUAUGGGUAUGAAGGGAGUAUAUUUUAGCUUACCUUUUCUUGUAGAAGAAACAUAGAAUUAGAAAGUUCACCUGAAUACAUCUUCAUAGGUUGGUGGACAAUUUUAUUGCUUAAAAAAAAUGUUCAAAAUAAGCCUGAUCCAUCAUUCAUGAAAUAUUUUGGACAGCAGGAAUGACCUGAUAGAUCAGAUAGAAGGCAAGGUAGUACUACAUUGCAGAUUUUGCAGUGCCCGGCAAUCCUGUCAAUAUCACGCACAUUUUCAUUUCCUGUGUGAAACUCAAUGAUCACAUGGUUUUGGUUUUCCUGACAAAGUUGUAAUUAUACUGGCUGGUGGCUACAGCCUUUCAAACUGAAAUCAUUUUUUGGAGCGUCCUCACUUGUGACUAGGAAUACUGCAACUCUAAGGUGGCGACCACUCUGAAGAGAGCAGCUGACAUCUUCAGGUAACUAAAAAAAAAUGAUUAUUCAGUUAUAUUUUGCCACUUGGUAGUUUCUUGAACAAUUAUCUUCAAACAUGCUCCACAGUUUCUAUUGACUGUUCAUUUUCCUUAAGUAUUUCAGGAGUUCAUGGCGUUUUUUAUGGUGACAUUGAAAAUAUGCACUUGCAUUCUUACGAACAUGUUGGUACAACGCAAGUUGUCCAGAAUCUGGAGCAUAGUCUGUACCAAAUAACUUAAUAUUCAUGGGUUCAUUAUUUAUAUUUCAGGUCAUAAUCUUUACUCGGUAACUCAAUAUGCAUGCGUUCAUUAUUCAUAUUUUAUAUAUGUGUCAACAUUCAUAGGUGGUUCAACCAGAAAAUACAAUGUAUACUACCAUCUUAUUGAUAAUUGAAACUUGUACAUAAACUCUCUUGCUCUAUCUUAAUUGAAAGGCAGAGCUCCUGCCAUUAUGUCAAAAAAAUGAAAAUAUGAUUUAGGCACUAGAAUUUUUUCCAUCUGAUGUGCAGCAUAAAAGAAACUCAAUGAAGACAAUCCCCAAUCACAAGAUCUGAGUUGUGAAACAAAGUUCCUCCUGAGUUAGUUUCAGACCUAUGGUGGUGGACAUGAACCUAGAUUGACACAUGUCGAAUAUCAGCUGAAACGAUCUACAGUGUUAUACUAAAAAAAACUGUAGCGAUUCUUGUAUUGGAUUGCUCAACUUUCCAUUCAGUUAUUUGAUCCCUUCUGCUGCAGCUAUCACUAACUGAAUGAAAAUCGCAGGUAAAUGGCAACUUUCUGAAUGUGUUUUUAAAUUUUUCUGAGUUCUAGGUUCUUUCUUCAGGUGGACGAAAAAAGCCAAAUUGACUGAAAUCUCAGGUGAAGGGCAAUUUUCUGAAAGCCUGCUUGGUGGCACGCCAUCUCUGGCUCUGCCAAGCGCCAACAGAUUCGGCACCGGGGCCGGAGGAGAAGCACUUCUGUGCGUUUGGAGGAGAAGCACUUCUGCGCAUUUGGAGGAGCGGGGGACCUUCUCGCGUGCGGAUGUGAAGCCACGAUUUGCUGCUCCGGCGAAGAAGCCUGCGGAUGUGAAGUCGUGCCAAAAGACACCCAUGUCUCACUACUAUGUCCCAGUGAUAAUUGUUUGGAGAGAGACGGAUAGGCGAAACAGAAUUAUAAACUCAACUCAAACAAUAGAAUCACAAUUGUGACAAUUAUGCUUAUAUUUUAUAUGAUAUAUGUUGACUUCUCCAAAGAUUCAUUUUUAUUAUUAUUGUUUGAUUAUAAAGGUUGUUUUGAUA
Sorghum bicolor (sorghum) is the source of this 1840-nucleotide long non-coding RNA. RefSeq lists it as uncharacterized. The transcript is spliced from 2 exons. Lineage: Eukaryota; Viridiplantae; Streptophyta; Magnoliopsida; Poales; Poaceae. The record is from RefSeq and is a predicted model, not a curated record.